This 801-nucleotide ribosomal RNA is filed under the name uncultured bacterium. RNAcentral describes it as "bacterial SSU rRNA". It matches the Rfam family "Bacterial small subunit ribosomal RNA", at positions 8 to 798 of the family's 1533-position model. The record is from RNAcentral.
AGAGUUUGAUCAUGGCUCAGAGUGAACGCUGGCGGUAGGCCUAACACAUGCAAGUCGAACGGCAGCACAGAGGAGCUUGCUCCUUGGGUGGCGAGUGGCGGACGGGUGAGGAAUACAUCGGAAUCUACUCUGUCGUGGGGGAUAACGUAGGGAAACUUACGCUAAUACCGCAUACGACCUACGGGUGAAAGCAGGGGAUCUUCGGACCUUGCGCGAUUGAAUGAGCCGAUGUCGGAUUAGCUAGUUGGCGGGGUAAAGGCCCACCAAGGCGACGAUCCGUAGCUGGUCUGAGAGGAUGAUCAGCCACACUGGAACUGAGACACGGUCCAGACUCCUACGGGAGGCAGCAGUGGGGAAUAUUGGACAAUGGGCGCAAGCCUGAUCCAGCCAUACCGCGUGGGUGAAGAAGGCCUUCGGGUUGUAAAGCCCUUUUGUUGGGAAAGAAAUCCAGCUGGCUAAUACCCGGUUGGGAUGACGGUACCCAAAGAAUAAGCACCGGCUAACUUCGUGCCAGCAGCCGCGGUAAUACGAAGGGUGCAAGCGUUACUCGGAAUUACUGGGCGUAAAGCGUGCGUAGGUGGUCGUUUAAGUCCGUUGUGAAAGCCCUGGGCUCAACCUGGGAACUGCAGUGGAUACUGGGCGACUAGAGUGUGGUAGAGGGUAGCGGAAUUCCUGGUGUAGCAGUGAAAUGCGUAGAGAUCAGGAGGAACAUCCAUGGCGAAGGCAGCUACCUGGACCAACACUGACACUGAGGCACGAAAGCGUGGGGAGCAAACAGGAUUAGAUACCCCGGUAGUCCAA